CCUACGGGAGGCAGCAGUGGGGAAUAUUGGGCAAUGGGCGCAAGCCUGAUCCAGCAACGCCGCGUGAAGGAAGAAGGCUUUCGGGUUGUAAACUUCUUUUAAGAGGGAAGAGCAGAAGACGGUACCUCUUGAAUAAGCCACGGCUAACUACGUGCCAGCAGCCGCGGUAAUACGUAGGUGGCAAGGGUUGUCCGGAUUUACUGGGUGUAAAGGGCGGGAAGCCGGGAAGACAAGUCAGAUGUGAAAGCCUGCGGCUUAACCGCGGAACUGCAUUUGAAACUGUUGAUCUUGAGUACUGGAGAGGCAGAUGGAAUUCCUAGUGUAGCGGUGAAAUGCGUAGAUAUUAGGAGGAACACCAGUGGCGAAGGCGGUCUGCUGGACAGCAACUGACGUUGAGGCGCGAAAGCGUGGGGAGCAAACAGGAUUAGAUACCCCUGUAGUC
This 442-nucleotide ribosomal RNA is filed under the name uncultured bacterium. RNAcentral's name for it is "partial 16S ribosomal RNA". It matches the Rfam family "Bacterial small subunit ribosomal RNA", at positions 338 to 795 of the family's 1533-position model. The record is from RNAcentral.